RNAcentral lists this ribosomal RNA (630 nucleotides) under uncultured Planctomycetota bacterium. RNAcentral describes it as "bacterial SSU rRNA". It matches the Rfam family "Bacterial small subunit ribosomal RNA", at positions 57 to 689 of the family's 1533-position model. Lineage: Bacteria; Pseudomonadati; Planctomycetota. The record is from RNAcentral.
GCAAGUCGAACGAAUCCCAGCUUUGUAGCAAUACCGAGCUGGGGGAAGUGGCGAAAGGGGCAGUAAUGCGUGGGUAACCUACCCCGGGGACGUGGAUAGCCUUCCUAACGGAAGGGUAAUACACGGCGAUCUGGCUGAAAGGCAUCUUCCGGCCAGGAAACGAACCUCGCCUCGGGAGGGGCUCACGUCGUAUUAGCUUGUUGGCGGGGUAACGGCCCACCAAGGCAAAGAUGCGUAGCGGGUGUGAGAGCACGACCCGCGCCACUGGCACUGAGACACUGGCCAGACUCCUACGGGAGGCUGCAGUCGAGGAUCUUCGGCAAUGGGCGCAAGCCUGACCGAGCGACGCCGCGUGUGCGAUGAAGGCCUUCGGGUUGUAAAGCACUGUCGAGGGGGAGUAAGCCGAAAGGUUGAACUAUCCCUGGAGGAAGCACGGGCUAAGUUCGUGCCAGCAGCCGCGGUAAGACGAACCGUGCGAACGUUGUUCGGAAUCACUGGGCUUAAAGGGCGCGUAGGCGGGUGCGCAAGUCUGUGGUGAAAGCCCCCAGCUUAACUGGGGAAGUGCCGUGGAUACUGCACAUCUUGAGGAGGGUAGGGGCAUCUGGAACGGUCGGUGGAGCGGUGAAAUGC